UUCCGGUUGAUCCUGCCGGAGGUUACUGCUAUCGAGGUUCGACUAAGCCAUGCGAGUCGAAUGUAGCAAUACAUGGCGAACUGCUCAGUAACACGUGGACAACCCGCCCUUAGGUCGGGUAUAAACCCGGGAAACUGGGUAUAAUACCCGAUAGGUCUCGAUUGCUGGAAUGCAUCGAGAUUUAAAGCUCCGGCGCCUAAGGAUGGGUCUGCGGCCUAUCAGGUAGUAGUGGGUGUAGCGUACCUACUAGCCUACGACGGGUACGGGUUGUGAGAGCAAGAGCCCGGAGAUGGAUUCUGAGACACGAAUCCAGGCCCUACGGGGUGCAGCAGGCGCGAAAACUUUACAAUGCUGGCAACAGCGAUAAGGGAACCUCGAGUGCCAGGUUACAAAUCUGGCUGUCGAGAUGCCUAAAAAGCAUUUCAUAGCAAGGGCCGGGCAAGACCGGUGCCAGCCGCCGCGGUAACACCGGCGGCUCGAGUGGUAACCGUUAUUAUUGGGUCUAAAGGGUCUGUAGCCGGCCGGAUAAGUCUCUUGAGAAAUCUGGCAGCUUAACUGUCAGGCUUUCAGGAGAUACUGUCUGGCUCGAGGCCGGGAGAGGUGAGAGGUACUUCAGGGGUAGGGGUGAAAUCUUGUAAUCCUUGAAGGACCACCAGUGGCGAAGGCGUCUCACCAGAACGGACCUGACGGCAAGGGACGAAAGCUAGGGGCACGAACCGGAUUAGAUACCCGGGUAGUCCUAGCCGUAAACGAUACUCGCUAGGUGUCGGCCACGGUGCGACCGUUGUCGGUGCCGUAGGGAAGCCGUGAAGCGAGCCACCUGGGAAGUACGGCCGCAAGGCUGAAACUUAAAGGAAUUGGCGGGGGAGCACCACAACGGGUGGAGCUUGCGGUUUAAUUGGAUUCAACGCCGGGGA
Molecule: ribosomal RNA, 917 nt
Filed under: uncultured Methanosaeta sp.
Lineage: Archaea; Methanobacteriati; Methanobacteriota; Methanomicrobia; Methanotrichales; Methanotrichaceae
Description: bacterial SSU rRNA
Rfam family: Archaeal small subunit ribosomal RNA
Source: RNAcentral